CGUUCAUUAUGCGUAUCAAUUUCUUCGUGGUGGACUUUCAGUCCACGAGGGUAUUACCAGCCUAGUAGCCAGUACUUAUGUACUGGCAUGGCAUGAAAAUAUGGAUUUUUUUGUGUUAUUAAAAUUUUGUGUUACAAAAUGUUAGAAAUUAUUGUAAAUUAAGGAAUAUAUCUCCCUCAUGCAAAGCUCUGAUUUCUAUCAUGGAUUUGGCUAUACUUUUUGGACCUUUUGGAUUAUAGCUCUUCAACUUUUAUUUAAGCUUUGGAUUUCAAAUAUUUUGGCCACGAGCAUCACUGAUGAGACAUGUAUUGUCAAAAUGCGCAAUUGGUACCGUUAAUGUUAUUUAAUCCUUUCAGACUUCUUUUUUUUUUUGCUUUGAAAUGGAAGUAACUCCGUUAUGCCAACAAUAACAACUAGUAACCUUUAAUUAUGUUUAAUGAACUUGUUUAGCCUUUCCGCAUUAAUUUCUGCAUCUGUUGAAUCCUUUCAGAUUUUCCCUAAAUACCGUGUUGUUUCUAUAAAGGGUUUUGGCAUCUUUUUUUGUUUUGAAAUGGAAGUAACUCCUCACUUACCCCAUAUAGUAACUACAAGUAUGGUAACAGACCCUAUAUUUUUAGGAAACCCUAUAUCAAAUAUACAUAGUCACCACCUGAAGUCCUUUAACCAAUCAUAUCUCUAUAAAUCUAUAGGAGGUAAGAUAAUAUUAAUAGCAUGGUAUGUCAGUGACCUAAUACGAUAUAUAUGGGUUCAGUAAAUUCCAUGUGAUCAACAUAUAUAUAUCGUAUCGUAUUAGGUCACUAGCACACCGUGUUAUGAAUUUAUCUUACCGACUAUCUUAACAAGUAGUAGUACGACUUUGCCUAUCAAGGGGAUUAAGUCUUAAAUACUAAGUACAAAUGCAUAACGAACCUACUUCCAUUUGUCUAUAGAAAAAGAUGCCAGCAGUAUCAACUUGUUAGAUCUAAAUGUGUUUAAUGAAUUUAUUUUAAUCGUUCAUCAUCAAUUACAUCGUCUGUUGAAACCAUUUAAGACCGUGUUUUUUUAAUAAAGGGACGUAACACCACUACGAACCGUGUAUUGAAAUAAGCCAAGUCUACUAACCUUAUAUGGAUUAUACAUGGUGUCCACGCGGUUGCUUUUAACCAAUCACAUUCCUUGAAAUGUAUAGGUGGUAAGAUAAAAUUAUAUAUUGUUCUUAAAAAUUUCAAAAUAUCAUUUAGAAUUUAUGACAAAAGCUGGCAUACCGUUUUGCUUCUCAAACUACAUAAUGA
Molecule: long non-coding RNA, 1271 nt
Filed under: Mytilus galloprovincialis (Mediterranean mussel)
Lineage: Eukaryota; Metazoa; Mollusca; Bivalvia; Mytilida; Mytilidae
Source: RNAcentral